Long non-coding RNA from Anolis carolinensis (green anole), 737 nucleotides. RefSeq lists it as uncharacterized. The transcript has 2 exons. The record is from RefSeq and is a predicted model, not a curated record. Lineage: Eukaryota; Metazoa; Chordata; Lepidosauria; Squamata; Anolidae.
UUCCUAAAAUCUUUUUCUCACACCCUUUACAUGCAUUUUUGUUAUGAUUGAGCCUCAUGGCUCUGCUACUGGCAGACGUGGGCGUAAGACUCCUCGAGAGUCAGAUACUCUCGAGGAGCGAGAAAGAAAGAGGCUGCGAGAUAUCUUUGCAGAACCAUCUGACGAGGAGUCUUUUGAGGGGUUUACGGAGAGAAUGGAGGAAGAGCUGGUUAGCUCGGAAGAGGAUGAGAUGGAUUGGACUCGGCUUUGACCUUCCGUCGUCUUCUUGACGGACGCCAUCUGCUACUCUGGAUUUACGGACUGAACUGACUACGGGCUCGGAUUCUCCUACCUGGACUUGGUGAACUACAAACGUCUGCUUCUGCCUAUCGACCUUCGGAAAGAACUGGGACUAUGCUACUGCUUCAAUCCUCGGCUGUUGUGUUUAUAUUGGGAAUUUGCCUGCUGUGUGGAGGAGUGACUUCUAAGUUACUCAAAACAUAGUGCUGGCAGCAGAGAGGCAUCUGCUGCCAAUUAGUUACAUUCUUUUGAACUCUUUGUUCCCCAGCUUCUGUUUGUUUAUUCCCAGGCUGAAGCAAGCUGUUUUGAUUUUACCCGGAUUAAACUCCGGUUUAAUCCGGUUUAUCUUUUGAACGUUUUUCUUGCCCCUUUUUGCUUUUUAAGGCUAAUGUUGCCUAGCCCUUGUCUUUUACGGGCAUUUUGAGUUCUGUAAAUCCAAUAAACUCUGUUAUCUUUGA